This 72-nucleotide transfer RNA is filed under the name Camelus bactrianus (Bactrian camel). It matches the Rfam family "tRNA". From Rfam's summary of the family: Transfer RNA (tRNA) molecules are approximately 80 nucleotides in length. Their secondary structure includes four short double-helical elements and three loops (D, anti-codon, and T loops). RNAcentral also lists the same sequence under 2 other names. The record is from Rfam by way of RNAcentral. Lineage: Eukaryota; Metazoa; Chordata; Mammalia; Artiodactyla; Camelidae.
GAGGGUAUAGUUCAGUGGUAGAGCAGCUGCUUCAUGUGCACAAGGUCCUGGGUUCAAUCCCCAGUGCCUUGG